This 465-nucleotide ribosomal RNA is filed under the name uncultured bacterium. RNAcentral describes it as "partial 16S ribosomal RNA". It matches the Rfam family "Bacterial small subunit ribosomal RNA", at positions 29 to 507 of the family's 1533-position model. The record is from RNAcentral.
UACGCACGCUGGCGGCGUGCUUAACACAUGCAAGUCGAACGGAAAGGCCCUGCUUGCAGGGUACUCGAGUGGCGAACGGGUGAGUAACACGUGGGUGAUCUGCCCUGCACUUCGGGAUAAGCCUGGGAAACUGGGUCUAAUACCGGAUAGGAGCCAUUUUUAGUGUGAUGGUUGGAAAGUUUUUUCGGUGUAGGAUGAGCUCGCGGCCUAUCAGCUUGUUGGUGGGGUAAUGGCCUACCAAGGCGGCGACGGGUAGCCGGCCUGAGAGGGUGGACGGCCACAUUGGGACUGAGAUACGGCCCAGACUCCUACGGGAGGCAGCAGUGGGGAAUAUUGCACAAUGGGCGCAAGCCUGAUGCAGCGACGCCGCGUGGGGGAUGACGGCCUUCGGGUUGUAAACUCCUUUCGCUAGGGACGAAGCUUUUUGUGACGGUACCUAGAUAAGAAGCACCGGCUAACUACGUG